RNAcentral lists this long non-coding RNA (1725 nucleotides) under Theobroma cacao (cacao). RNAcentral's name for it is "long non-coding RNA (TCAC_LNC001737)". The record is from RNAcentral. Lineage: Eukaryota; Viridiplantae; Streptophyta; Magnoliopsida; Malvales; Malvaceae.
CUUGCUUUCUAGGAUGCAACUCUGAAAUUUGCUUCUCGAUGCAAUUGACAGUCUACUGCCUAUUCUGAGCCUGAAAAAUGUAUAGGAAGAAGGGGUGAGAUUAUAAAAUCCCAGUGAGUAGACAGACAUCAUCAAAACAAUCUAAAGCCGAGUAAUAGGAGACAAUUAAAAUAAUUCAUCCCAACCUAUAUAAAUAAUUGGAUUUCAUCCAAUUACUCAACAUGGCUUAUGCAUUUUUCAAAAACUUGGCCCUUGCCAAAAAUUCAUUCUCGGGGAUACCCUGCGAAGGCAUCUUACUGAGACCGCCAAGGCUGUUUAUUGUCACACACACAAACACAUUUCACCUUUGACAACACAGCUGUUCCUCGGUGUUGGCUGAGUCCCAGUUUCACGUGGUGGCCAGCGUGAAGGGUACUCAAAUCCUACCUCGGGAGUUAUCCUAUGCGCCUCUCCAAUCGAGGUAAGCUCAAUAAUUGGGAACCGUGCCCCUCUAAUUAGGUUGGCCCACGAAACCCCCGUCAUUGCAGUGCCCACUUUAUAAUCCACCAACCAAUAAAAUCACAAUAGUAUGACAUAGCUCACUUAACACAUUCAAGGCAAAUCAAAGCAGUUCACAUAUUCUUUAAAUCAUAAAAAUAACUAGUCAUACCCACAUUUAUCAUAAGCCAUUUAAUGUAAAAUCAUGGAUAAACAACACAAUCAUAGUAUAGGUCUCCAAUUACUCUAUUUUUGAAAUCAUUAUUAAAUUUUCAAAAAUUUUAUAAAAUUAUUUUAUAAAAUCUCAUUUUCCCAUAAAACACAAUAAUUUUCCAAUUAAACCAUUUUUCCAUAAAAUCACACGAUUAAAUAAAUCUACUCUAGAUAAUUAAGAUGAUAGUAAGUUUACUCACUAUACUAGGAGUAGAUAUACUCCUAUUUUCGAUCCUCGGGUGUAGUUUUUUACCCGUAUCAGAUAGCUCAUCACCUAUCCACAAUACAUGACACAAAAAAUUCAAUAAUUUGUGUCAAAUCAAUAAAUAUUAUUUCAGGCUCUUAUCCAUGCGUAUGCAUUAGAUAGGGUGUGAAAUGUUUGGACAAUCGCUUAAUCACAGUGUCAGACCUAACUCACCUAUUCACGGUGUAAAUUUUCUAAAAUCUCCAAUUCAACUCCAAUUCCAUCCAUUUCAUAUUCAAUUAUCCAAUUAUAUCCACAAUACCUCAAUGACUGUGAAUGUGGUCCAAUUUAUCAGUUCGGACCAUAAAUUACGCUUUUACCCCUAGUGGGUAAAAAUUUCAAUUCUUUUUUUGCACCAAAAAUUCCCAUUUAAUUUCCAACUUCAUAAUUCAUCAUUUUUCCAUCUAAUUCUCUUAAAAUAAAGUCAACCUCAUCCUCACACACCAUUGGCUAGAUUUGGCCUAGAGAAAUUCAUGGAGAAAAUGAAUAAUUUUCUUGUUGUUUUACUCAUAAACAUGCUAAGCUAACACUAAACACUAACACAGUUCAAAAUCAAAUUAAUCUAACAACUUUCUCUCUCUAAACCCAUAUCAUCAGAUUUGAAUCCAUCAUCAAAACACAUAAUUUAACCAUGGAAAAGAAGGAGAAAUGCAUGGAAAUGAUAAAUCUUAAGCUAAGCUUGAAAAAUCAUACCUUUAAACACUUGAUUCCUUGAAAAAUCACACUUUUUCUUUGAAUUUUCUCACUCUAGGGGUUGUUCUUAUUUCUCUCUCUCUCCUGCUGGUUUUGGC